Molecule: unclassified non-coding RNA, 376 nt
Filed under: uncultured Actinomycetes bacterium
Lineage: Bacteria; Bacillati; Actinomycetota; Actinomycetes
Description: uncultured actinobacterium contains 16S-23S intergenic spacer region
Source: RNAcentral
UCCGAGUUGACCCCGGCAGUCUUCGAUGAGUCCCCGGCCGAACCGCUGGCAACAUCGAACGAGGGUUGCGCUCGUUGCGGGUCUUAACCCAACAUCUCACGACACGAGCUGACGUCAGCCAUGCACCACCUGUGACCGCCCCCGAAGGACCCGACAUCUCUGCCGGUUUUGCGGCCAUGUCAAACCCAGGUAAGGUUCUUCGCGUUGCAUCGAAUUAAUCCGCAUGCUCCGCCGCUUGUGCGGGCCCCCGUCAAUUCCUUUGAGUUUCAACCUUGCGGUCGUACUCCCCAGGCGGGGUACUUCCUGCGUUAGCGCCGGCACGGAAUCCGUUGAGUGAAUCCCACACCUAGUGCCCACCGUUUACGGCGUGGACUAC